This is a long non-coding RNA of Pygocentrus nattereri (red-bellied piranha), 1488 nucleotides long. Lineage: Eukaryota; Metazoa; Chordata; Actinopteri; Characiformes; Serrasalmidae. The record is from Ensembl.
AUGCUAACCCUGACUCUACUGUAUGUAAUGCUAACCCUGACACUUCUGUGUCUAAUGCUAACCCUGACUCUACUGUAUCUAAUGCUAACCCUGACUCUACUGUAUCUAAUGCUAACCCUGACUCUACUGUGUCUAAUGCUGUUCCUGACUCUACUGUGUCUAAUGAUAACCCUGACUCUACUGUAUCUAAUGCUGACCCUGACUCUACUGUGUCUAAUGCUGUUCCUGACUCUACUGUGUCUAAUGAUAACCCUGACUCUACUGUAUCUAAUGCUGACCCUGACUCUACUGAUAGUAACAUUAACCUUAACUCUACUGUAUCUAAUGCUGACACUGACUUUACUGUAUCAAAUUCUGACCCUGACUCUACUGUGUCAAAUGAUAACCCUGACUCUACUGUGUCGAAUGCUGUUCCUGACUCUACUGUGUCUAAUGAUAACGUUGACUCUACUGUGUCUAAUGCUGACCCUGACUCUACUGUGUCUAAUGAUAACUCUGACUCUACUGUGUCAAAUGCUGACCCUGACUCUACUGUAUUUAAUGCUGACCCUGACUCCGUGUCUGAUGCUAACCCUGACUCUAUUGUAUCUAAUGCUCACUCUACUGUAUCUAACCCUGACUCUAAUGUGUCUAAUGCUAACCCUGACUCUACUGUAUCUAAUGCUAACCCUGACUCUACUGUAUCUAAUGCUGACUCUACUGUAUCUAACCCUGACUGUACUGUGUCUAAUGCUAACCCUGACUCUGAUGUAUCUAAUGCUAACGCUGACUCUACUGUAUCUAAUGCUGACCCUGACUCUACUCUGUCUAAUGAUAACCCUGACUCUACUGUAUCUAAUGCUGACCCUGACUCUACUGAUAGCAACAUUAACCUUAACACUACUGUAUCUAAUGCUGACCCUGACUCUACUGUAUCUAAUGCUGACCCUGACUCUACUGAUAGUAACAUUAACCUUAACUCUACUGUAUCUAAUGCUGACACUGACUUUACUGUAUCUAAUGCUGACCCUGACUCUAAUGUGUCUAAUGAUAAUCCUGACUCUACUGUAUCUAAUGCUGACCCUGUCUCUACUGUGUCUAAUGCUGACCCUGACUCUACUGUAUUUAAUGCUGACCCUGACUCCGUGUCUAAUGCUAACCCUGACUCUACUGUAUCUAAUGCUGACUCUACUGUAUCUAACCCUGACUCUAAUGUGUCUAAUGCUAACCCUGACUCUACUGUAUCUAAUGCUAACCCUGACUCUACUGCAUCUAAUGCUAACCCUGACUCUACUCUAUCUAAUGCUGAUCCUGACUCUAUUGUAUCUAAUGCUGACCCUGACUCUUUUGUAUCUUAACUCUAACCCUGACUCUACUGUAUGUAAUGCUAACCCUGACUCUGCUGUAUCUAAUGCUAAUGCUGACUCUACUGUAUCUAAUGCUAACCCUGACUCUACUGUAUCUAAUGCUAACUCUGAGUCUACUGUGUCUAAUGCUGACCCUGAUUAA